This 460-nucleotide ribosomal RNA is filed under the name uncultured bacterium. RNAcentral describes it as "partial 16S ribosomal RNA". It matches the Rfam family "Bacterial small subunit ribosomal RNA", at positions 338 to 795 of the family's 1533-position model. The record is from RNAcentral.
CCUACGGGCGGCAGCAGUGAGGAAUAUUGGUCAAUGGACGCGAGCCUGAACCAGCCAAGUCGCGUGAGGGAUGACGGCCCUAUGGGUUGUAAACCUCUUUUAUCGGGGAACAAAAGGCUCCACGUGUGGCAUUCUGUGUGUACCAGAUGAAUAAGCAUCGGCUAACUCCGUGCCAGCAGCCGCGGUAAUACGGAGGAUGCGAGCGUUAUCCGGAUUUAUUUGGUUUAAAGGGUGCGUAGGCGGAUAGUUAAGUCAGUUGUGAAAUUUGCGGGCUCAACCGUCACAUUGCAGUUGAAACUGGCAGUCGUGAGUGGAGUAGAGGUAGGCGGAAUGCGUGGUGUAGCGGUGAAAUGCAUAGAGAUCACACAGAACACCGAUUGCGAAGGCAGCUUACCAAACUACGACUGACGUUGAGGCACGAAAGUGUGGGGAUCAAACAGGAUUAGAUACCCGUGUAGUC